This 236-nucleotide long non-coding RNA is filed under the name Elaeis guineensis (African oil palm). RNAcentral describes it as "long non-coding RNA (EGUI_LNC075522)". The record is from RNAcentral. Lineage: Eukaryota; Viridiplantae; Streptophyta; Magnoliopsida; Arecales; Arecaceae.
UUGCCCCACAAAUGACAGCUUGAUCUAUUUUUUCUUGAAGACACGAUUUACAGACUGGAUAAGACUCGAAAGUCAAUGAUCUAAGAAGACCAUCUUUCUCCAGUUUGAUGAGUCUGUCUUCUCCAAUAUGGUCUAGCCUAAGGUGCCACAGAUACUUUUGGCUGAUCCUAUCUCUAGAUCUCUUAGAUCCUAUGAUAUUUACUAUUUGCUCGUUAAUGUUUACACUUGCAUCCGUA